Molecule: long non-coding RNA, 570 nt
Organism: Myiozetetes cayanensis
Lineage: Eukaryota; Metazoa; Chordata; Aves; Passeriformes; Tyrannidae
Exons: 3
Source: RefSeq, a predicted model, not a curated record
UCCUCGCAGCCUUGAUGGAAACCAGGCAUCACUUCUGCUCUCCCCAGCAGAGAGGGCAGCACAGAGGACUGGGGAAAAAAUGUGAAUGUGGAUUUAAUGGUUUUGUGUCUUAGAGAUGUGGUUGAGCAGGAGGAGUGUGUGGGGGAGAGCCUCAGGGUGCUUUUUUUUUUUUUCUCUCGUUAAUUUAUUUAUUUUUCCUCUACCCAGUAAGGGAUAACUGCACAGUUCCACCAGCACUCAGUCUCUGCCAGGAGCUGGAGUCGAUUUCCCACCUCUUACCCUUGCAGGCAGUGCUGUUUUCUCCUUCUUUCAGGGUGGUCAGGAUCUGAAUUCCUCAUGCAAAAGAAGAAGCAGGGGAAGAGGAAACUGCAAGCAAGGACCUUCCCUACCUCAGGGAUCUGUCACAAGGACUCAGCAGGCCUCCAAGCGUGGUUUCUUGCUCUGCAGUCUCUCAGCUCAAGCCUCCUGGCUUUGGAGUGAUCAGGAGAGGCAGAGCUCAUCCAGCAUCACAGAGCUGUGGGGAUGGCACCGGGUCCUGCUGAGCACAGUCCCACAGUCCCUGCCCUGAGC